ACAACAGACUUACGCAGAAGAAUUAGUAUGUUGCCAGGACAAACAUUAGGUCCUACAGCACUUGGGGUUCCAGUGCUCCAACAACUGUGUUUAGCUGGAAGCAAAGUAGCAGUGGGCUUGUUGACUUGAAAGCCUGGCAGCUAAGGUUGGAAAAGACUCAGGAAUCUCCAUACCUUAUUGUAACUGAAUGUGCCACCUUUAACUGGCUGUACCUGGAACCCUUAACAAGGCUUAUACUGGCUCGGGAGAAGAGGGUGGAGGAUGAGACCUGGUGAGGAUGGCUGUUGCUAACAGAUGAGGGAAGAUCACUGUCUCCUCAGCCCAUCACACAGGUUCUAAAGAAUUUGGCAAACAUUUUUGUUAGUUGUGACUGUUGUCUGUGCCUUUGGGGAAGUGCUGAAGUUCUGUGAGAAUAACCAAUUCCUGAGCCAGCAGAAGCCUAGAAAGAAUUUGGAAUCUUGUGAGAAAUUCAGAUCUGGCAAGAUAUCCAGACUGACUUCCCAACAAAAGUCGUCUGGGCAAACCCCAGAGAAUUCAGAUGCAUAUUCCACUGGAGCCUCCAAACCUGCUGAGGUUUCUCAUUGUUGACGGUCUGGAACUGAUGGGAGCAGACGUUUGCCAAAACUGUUGCUGAAGGGUGGGCAUUAUGGGAAAACCAGCUGCACCCUAUUGUUCCCAGCCAUGCGAGGACUGCACCAAGCAGCCGUGAACCAGAGCAAGCAAACGCAUUGUAGAUAUACAAGCUGCAACGAAGAGAAGGGCCUGCUGUGAGCUGCAGGCUGUACAAGUAAGAGAUGGUUCUGAAGAGCUUACAAUCUGAAUGGACAAGCCAAAGGAUGGACGAAAGGAUGUAUUAAACCCAGGGUUGGCAAUGUCCCAUGUUUCCCACGAGCAGACCCAUCGUUGGUCUGGCUUCUCACAUGCUACUCUGCUGAAAUAUCAGGCAGUAAAUGGAGAUUUGCCAGUGAACUGUGGAAAGAGCUAAGUGCUGAAGGCGAGAGGGGGCCCAGCUAUGCUUCCAACCCUUGGCACGUGUGCAGGGAGUGGAGGGAAGCGCAGCACCAGAGAAGAGGCUGGAGGCACCACGGCACACGAGAACAUGCUGGCCGCCGGGGAGAAGGUACAAGGACCCACCCCAUCCCAGUGGACAGAAGAAGAGAAUGAGGGAGAACCUUUCUUGACCCACUGGCUUCCCAGCCCCACGUGGAGCUCAGGACUGAUGUGGUAAAAAUGCUGAAGAUGUAGAGACAUGUCUAUGCUAUAGCCUCUACUGGAACUGACACCCCAGCAAUUGUUUUGAAUUUUGAUGAAAUUCUGUUGAUUAUGUGGGCCUUUCACAUUGCAACAGGGGAAAACUAUUGAAAGAAAUAAGAGAACAUGACUGUAAACCUACAUUUUAAUGGAUUACAUUUAAAGUUGAUAAUGUCCCCUUUUAAAAAUAUAUUAUAAUUCCUUAAAUUACUAAAGUGAAGAAGUUUAACAUUCUAUUAAUGAUUCAUUCUCUGUUUACGCUGCUUGGUUAUUGUUUGCUCUUUCUUCAUCUUGGGCAAUAGAGAUAAUCUGUUUCACUUCUGUUUAUUAAAGAUGGUUUAAUUUCUUGCCAACUACUGACUAGUGCAAUGAUGCAACAUUUGGGUUGCAAAUGCUGCAGGGGAAUGUUAAUUUGUGUUAACAACAAAAUUCUUUCCACUGGUAUUUAAAAAUAAUCCUGGAUACUUCAGGUGGUCGAAGUGUUGUAAAUGCUUUGUUGUUUUUACAAAACCUAAAUUUAUUUUUGUUUUAGAACAGCCAUAAUUGCUCUUCAUGUCAGAUCUGAUCAUCAGUUUACAAGCCAAGGGCAAGUUUUUCAAGCUGCCCAGGUUCGCAGCUCCAUAUUGUGACUGCCGCUAUUGGUUCCUGUUGAUUUAAAUGGAAAUCUUUUGCUACAGGUCCUUUAUCUCUUAAGUAGCUCUACAUUUUUCUUCCCUUCAGAUUUGUAUGAAGCAGAGAAUGGGAUCAGUUACAGAGAGUCACCCUAUCUUACUAGCCAGUGGAAUAAGGAACAGGAUUCUCUAAAACCUUGCACCUUGUGCAAUAUUUUAGGCCUGUGAAAAGUAAGAUAAAAGGAGACUACUGGUGUAAGUGGAGAAUUCUGAGGUUAACAGUGUUUUACAUUCAGCAUGCACAGGAAUAAAUUCUCUUACAAAAUGCAAGAUGGUGGAGAAGGUGAUGAUUUAAUCAUGUGGCUACUAGAGUGAUAAAUGUCAUCCAUUGGCUGAGUGGAAAAGAGUGGGUGGAGCCAAAGUACUAUAGUAUCUGCCACUGAACUCUUGUAUUUGUGUUGCAGGGGAAGGGAUUUAUCAUUGCUGAUCAAGUUUGUAGUUAUAAACUUUUGAAGUAUUUUCUGAAUAGUGUUUUGUUUGUUGUUUUGUUUACAGUGGUUGCC
Chelonia mydas (Green sea turtle) is the source of this 2425-nucleotide long non-coding RNA. RefSeq lists it as uncharacterized. The record is from RefSeq and is a predicted model, not a curated record. The transcript is spliced from 7 exons. NCBI's taxonomy places the organism in Eukaryota, Metazoa, Chordata, Testudines, Cheloniidae.